UGAUACGCAAUGACGAGAUAAGUAGAUCUGUUGUGUUCUUCAAAGAGAGCCGGAGUGGUGGAAGCCGGUAAGGAUACAGGAUUGAAGAUGGUCUUUGAGCGUCCAGAGCCGAAUAAUUAAGUUCUGGCGGGUGUUCCCGAUAGCGAACAAGGGUAUCUCAUGGUUUCAUGACGUACCCGAUAAGGACUAUUUUGUGAAAAAUAGUCAAAUUAAAGGUGGUAACGCGAGUAAUCGUCCUUAUG
RNAcentral lists this non-coding RNA (242 nucleotides) under Secundilactobacillus collinoides. RNAcentral describes it as "Lactobacillus collinoides T-box sequence". It matches the Rfam family "T-box leader". Rfam says of the family: Uncharged tRNA acts as the effector for transcription antitermination of genes in the T-box leader family. T-boxes are found upstream of many aminoacyl-tRNA synthetase genes and some amino acid biosynthetic genes usually in Gram-positive bacteria. The anticodon of a specific tRNA base pairs to a specifier sequence within the T-box motif, and the NCCA acceptor tail of the tRNA base pairs to a conserved bulge in the T-box antiterminator hairpin. The record is from RNAcentral. Lineage: Bacteria; Bacillati; Bacillota; Bacilli; Lactobacillales; Lactobacillaceae.